GACGAACGCUGGCGGCGUGCUUAACACAUGCAAGUCGAACGGAAAGGCCCUGCUUUUGUGGGGUGCUCGAGUGGCGAACGGGUGAGUAACACGUGAGUAACCUGCCCUUGACUUUGGGAUAACUUCAGGAAACUGGGGCUAAUACCGGAUAGGAGCUCCUGCUGCAUGGUGGGGGUUGGAAAGUUUCGGCGGUUGGGGAUGGACUCGCGGCUUAUCAGCUUGUUGGUGGGGUAGUGGCUUACCAAGGCUUUGACGGGUAGCCGGCCUGAGAGGGUGACCGGCCACAUUGGGACUGAGAUACGGCCCAGACUCCUACGGGAGGCAGCAGUGGGGAAUAUUGCACAAGGGGCGGAAGCAUGAUGCAGCAACGCCGCGUGCGGGAUGACGGCCUUCGGGUUGUAAACCGCUUUCGCCUGUGACGAAGCGUGAGUGACGGUAAUGGGUAAAGAAGCACCGGCUAACUACGU
This 467-nucleotide ribosomal RNA is filed under the name uncultured bacterium. Its description in RNAcentral is "partial 16S ribosomal RNA". It matches the Rfam family "Bacterial small subunit ribosomal RNA", at positions 28 to 506 of the family's 1533-position model. The record is from RNAcentral.